Molecule: ribosomal RNA, 718 nt
Filed under: uncultured bacterium
Lineage: Bacteria
Description: bacterial SSU rRNA
Rfam family: Bacterial small subunit ribosomal RNA
Source: RNAcentral
UCGAGCGAAUCAAUAGGAGCUUGCUCCUGUUGAUUAGCGGCGGACGGGUGAGUAACACGUGGGCAACCUGCCUGUAAGACUGGGAUAACUUCGGGAAACCGGAGCUAAUACCGGAUAAUCCUUUUCUACUCAUGUAGAAAAGCUGAAAGUCGGUUUCGGCUGACACUUACAGAUGGGCCCGCGGCGCAUUAGCUAGUUGGUGAGGUAACGGCUCACCAAGGCGACGAUGCGUAGCCGACCUGAGAGGGUGAUCGGCCACACUGGGACUGAGACACGGCCCAGACUCCUACGGGAGGCAGCAGUAGGGAAUCUUCCGCAAUGGACGAAAGUCUGACGGAGCAACGCCGCGUGAGUGAUGAAGGCCUUCGGGUCGUAAAGCUCUGUUGUUAGGGAAGAACAAGUAUCGGAGUAACUGCCGGUACCUUGACGGUACCUAACCAGAAAGCCACGGCUAACUACGUGCCAGCAGCCGCGGUAAUACGUAGGUGGCAAGCGUUGUCCGGAAUUAUUGGGCGUAAAGCGCGCGCAGGCGGUCCUUUAAGUCUGAUGUGAAGGCCCACGGCUCAACCGUGGAGGGUCAUUGGAAACUGGGGGACUUGAGUGCAGAAGAGGAAAGCGGAAUUCCACGUGUAGCGGUGAAAUGCGUAGAGAUGUGGAGGAACACCAGUGGCGAAGGCGGCUUUCUGGUCUGUAACUGACGCUGAGGCGCGAAAGCGUG